This is a small nucleolar RNA of Galendromus occidentalis (western predatory mite), 71 nucleotides long. The record is from RefSeq and is a predicted model, not a curated record. NCBI's taxonomy places the organism in Eukaryota, Metazoa, Arthropoda, Arachnida, Mesostigmata, Phytoseiidae.
CUAGAAUGAUGAUUUCAACCCAGUUCUGCUUCUGAUCUCGUUGAAGAGAACUAUACCAUAUCGACUGAUGC